UGCUUAAUAACUUAUCCAGGCCAUGGUAUUGGGUUAUUAUUAGCAAAAAAUGGACAAAGACAUGCUCUAUUGGUGCUAUCCACACUUCAUCUGUAAAUGACUGAACCAACACAAAUGAGCAAAAUUGGGAACUGUUUUCCUUUAGAAGAAUAGGCAAAGAGCAGGAAGACAUUUGCAUAAAGCCAUUAAGCAAGUGAAAGAAUGACACUGGCUCCCCUCCAUACGAGUGGGGAGCCUGGCUGACUGAGGAGCUUGGUGUGCUGACACAGAACUGGAGGCAUGGGUGAUUUUCAACGGGCUUCUGAGAGAUCUUCAAAUAUUCUGGAAACAGUCUUUAUUAGAUAUGUGACCUGUGCAGUCAAAUGAAAAAUGGAACAUGUGCAUGACUAUGGAGGUAUUUUCUUCUGACAAAUGUGAUCAUGUGCUACCAAAGGGAAAUCUCCUCUCCUUAUAGUCUUGGAGGUACAGGCCAGUGCAGCUGUCACCACGUCAAGCACUGCUGAUCACCAUGCAGAGGAAAGAGGACUCUUCUGUAGAGUUGUGUUCUAGCAAUCACAUGACGUGGCCCAAAGUAACACAGAUCAACUCCACUCACCCCUCCUAGGAUAACACCAGUCAUUGAUGGCUCCACCUAACCUCAAGGGCAUCCUCCCACACGGCUGAAGUUAGAAAGCCGGAAGUAUGGACUCUUAUUACCACUGAUGAUAGUACUGAGUUCCAAUAGCUUUACCCAGCCUCUGCCUAGGCACCAUCAACUCUUCAGGAAUAAAGAGUAAAGCUCCUACUAAGAAGCCAGUCUGUGCACUAGCGACACAUCGAUCUCUUCAUUUUGUGGUUCUGCCCUGCCCAUCAUUGCAGCCCACCAUUUCCCUCUCGGCAGGCGGUUCAGAAUUAUAACUGUCUCCACUGAUCGCAGAACCCACUGUGUAGAUAUGCUGUGCCUGAGUAAUACUUCAACUGGAAACUGCAGAUUGAGUAAUUUCAGAGCAAGUUUUGCUACAAUGGAAUAUGGUGUUAAAUAUGAUUUGAAAUCUAAUCCUGUAAAGACAGGGGUGCAUGUGCUUCAGGGGACAGAUGGGUAACCUAAUUGUAUGAAGAGGCCAGAUGUAAGAAGUCAGAGGUGGUGAAGGCCAAGCUGAACUGUGAACACAGCCUAUCUGAAAGAGUGGAGUAUCUGUUCUGGAUUCUUACAUAAAAUCUUAGUUUUGAAUUUGUCCAACAACAACAAAAAAAGGAACAUGUAUUAUAAAAAUUAUUCCAUGAGCUUAGAAACAUACCUUAUGAA
Molecule: non-coding RNA, 1285 nt
Organism: Heterocephalus glaber (naked mole-rat)
Lineage: Eukaryota; Metazoa; Chordata; Mammalia; Rodentia; Bathyergidae
Source: RefSeq, a predicted model, not a curated record